UUGCACUCCUUCUAGUCUGUGUACUGAGCACCCAUGAUAUGCCGGGCACGGUGCUAGAUCUGAAGGUGCUAGAUCCGAAAAAGGCAUAGUCCUUGGCCUCAAGGAGUCUAGUGGGAGGGGCCUCGUGAACACUCAAUUGCCAUAAGAGUGUGGAGGGCUGCGGUGUGCCCGGGUGCUUGGGAAUGCUGUAGCGUGGAUUCCUACUUGGUCUUCAGGGGGCCGGCACUGAAGAGAGGCUGACCAAAGAGAAAAUCAAAGUCGAGUCCUCAUGGAUGAAUAGGAGUUCCUGGGACGAGGUGAUGGUAGGAAAAGGUGUCAGUGAGCAGGUGAGGAGGGCAUUCCAGGUAGACGGUCCGCAGGAGCCAAGGUUCAAUGGCGACAGAGGAGAAACGCACCAUUUAGAACGUGUAAGCAUAAAGUGAGAAGAAAGGGGAAGUCAGGAGGUGCGAUGCCGAGCUCCGCUAAAGAACAAGUCCUGAGCGCAAUGGGGAGCCACAAAAUGGCUGAAAGCAGCAACAACAAAGACUUGGCUUUCUCACACCUGCUCCCACACGCUGGGCUGCCUGGAGAAAAGUUACCACAGCCACAGCCCGACCCGCGCUCUCUUGCCACAGACCUUUAGAAGACAGGUGAGCGUUGCUGUAGAUGCAAUUAGGAGGCGGUGGGCGUGCGAAUGUGUGGUGAGUCCGCCUCUCUGAGGGACUUUCUGAGCUGCCUGUGUGAUGGACGGCAGUGUGUGGAAGAAAUUUGUGAGGCAGUGACUAGCCGGUGGAUUGCUGAAGCAAAAGGACACGGAUGGAGAGAUGGCAUUGGAUGACCACAUCACCCAGAGCACUAUCGCAUGACUUGUAGGAAGGAGAAGUCACCUGGAAACUUUCAUGCCAUCAAGCCGUGUGUUCAGGAUCAUAGCUUGUAUUUAUUGUCCUCCUUCCCAUGAGCCUCUCAGGAUUUAUCCUGUCAUGUCCCAGGUCCCAGUUUGCUUCAGUCCCCGCCAGAAAUCCCAGGCUCUAUAGUCAACCAUUAUUCUAAGGACGUGCAUUCUCAC
This 1045-nucleotide long non-coding RNA is filed under the name Equus caballus (horse). RNAcentral's name for it is "lncRNA (ENSECAG00000058143.1)". Lineage: Eukaryota; Metazoa; Chordata; Mammalia; Perissodactyla; Equidae. The record is from RNAcentral.